AAAGAGAAACUGAGAGUGGCUGAUCUAUACUAUCGUACACACAGUUUGGUAAUAGUUUAUAUAUGAUAUAUACUUUAUCUAUUUUGUUGAUAUAUUUGAUUAUGUUUUCGGAUCGGAUCGUGUCAAUACGCCGUUUUCACAUAUACGUGUAUGAGGCGUGACAUUGUGUUAUCCGAUCCAGUUGCGAUGAUCGCAAUUUUGCGCUAGCAACGCCGUUGUUUUUUUUAAUUCAUUUUUUUAUAUAUAUACAUAUAUUUAGAUCUGCACAUUUUUUUUCAUAACUAACUACCCUGAUUUUUCCUAAACCCUGACAAUUUCGCCACAAACUCUAAAUUUCAAACCUAAAACUUUAACCGUGUUGUUUCCUCUAAACCAUAAACCUUUUCUUAAAC
This 392-nucleotide long non-coding RNA is filed under the name Lathyrus oleraceus (garden pea). RNAcentral's name for it is "Pisum sativum (pea) long non-coding RNA (PSAT_LNC023138)". Lineage: Eukaryota; Viridiplantae; Streptophyta; Magnoliopsida; Fabales; Fabaceae. The record is from RNAcentral.